Long non-coding RNA from Amblyraja radiata (thorny skate), 2336 nucleotides. RefSeq lists it as uncharacterized. The transcript has 5 exons. The record is from RefSeq and is a predicted model, not a curated record. Lineage: Eukaryota; Metazoa; Chordata; Chondrichthyes; Rajiformes; Rajidae.
GUCCCUCUCUCUCUACAUCUCAACACAAUGAAUAGGGGAAAGUGGCUCCCAUUGUGUCCCGGUGAUCUCAAAGUCAUUGCAGUUUUUAAGCGGUGACUUGUGGCACUUUGAUAACCGCCGGGAGCUGUCAGUGCAGCGGGCUUCUGAAAAAUUUACAGUGUUAAAUCGCAGCAUAUGCUGGAGAAUUUGUCAAAAUCUUGUACAGUAUCCGGCUGCCACCUAGCGUAUGGAGUGUCGCUGUAGAACUCCGGAGCUGAACAGCCAUUCAAAGCGAUCGCGGCGCCUCCUCGCUCACAACACGUCCUUUAUUCCCCGAAAAAAAAACUUCUGCACCUUUAAUAUGAUUAAUUCUUUAGGAUUUUUCUCUAAUUGAUUCGGACGUUGCUGAGCGGGCCUGCGUGAUCUCCGUCGCUUUGUUUUGUAUAGAUCUGCCUCUACGCUUGGCUUGACUUAAGUGCCAGGAAUUGCUCUUAUUUCCAAAACAACCGAUUGCUAAUUGACUUUUUUCCCCCCUUCCAAAAACGGUUCAUCUAAAUCAGUAAAGCCAAGCCAAAAUGAUGCCGGCUCCUUCGCCCCUCAAAUAAAUAAAUAUACAUUUCCCACACAAAAAUCAUCAGAUGAGUAUCUGGAUCUAGAGUAAAACGAUCAAACGACAGACAGAAUGCAUUCCUGACCCUGUUUCAUUGCAUGCAUCUGCAAAAUCUAUGAACAUUAAAUGUCCAGUAGAAUUUCCCACGUGCAUUAGUGGAUGAAAUAACAGAAUGUAGAGCAUCUAUCUGUCAACCCUUGGUAUUGCGGACCUCGUUAUAAUGGAUUUUGGCUACAGUGGACCGAGGUGGUGUAUGGAGUCAGUACAUUCCAGAUAAAUUUCCAUAUUCUUUCCAGAUUGAGGUGUGACCAACAACACAGAGGCUGAAGAGAUUUUCUUACGAUUAAUUGGAGGACUCUGAGGGAACCCCAGCAGCACAUCCAGAUGUGACAGAGGUUGACAUGCACCCCUUCCAACUUGCCUAUUGCUUCCGGUGUAGCCUCCUGUACACAAGACCAAGAGGCAAUUAGGAGAUGAACACGCGUUCUGCCUGCCAUGGCCUGCUUGAUCUCCCAGUUGCCAACCAUUUUAACUCCUCUUCCCAUUCCCAUAUUGUCCUUCCUGUCCAUGGCCUCUGCCAUUGUCAUAGUGAGCCCACAUGCAAACUGAAAGAACAGCACCUCAUUUUAUGCUUGAGUGAUCUGCAACACAAGGGUAUUGAUUUCUCCAAUUUCAAGUAACUCCCCGCCCUUGCUCCACCUCAUUCCCCCUGCAUCCCAUCCCCACCCCUGUGUGCAGGCAUUUCUCCCACAAUCUCUCAUCACCCUAGUCCUUUCUCCUCCCCCGCACUCUCAUUCCCAUCGCCUAGUUACACAUUUCCCUUUAAACCCUCUCUCUCCACUUCUUCCUGUCACCGUCCACCCAGUAUGAGUAUUUCCAAUUAGUUAGUACAGGGGCCAGGUGUAAUGGUGAGAAGGCAGGAGAAUGGGGUUAGGAGGGAAAGAUAGAUCAGCCAUGAUUGAAUGGUAAAGUAGACUUAAUGGGCUGAAUGGCCUAAUUCUGCUUCUAUGACUUAAAAAAAUAUGGACUUAUGAUGUUUUGGAUCGGGACUCUUCUGUAAAGGGCAAAUAAUCAAAAGCCUUUCUUUUAUGAGUGGGGUUAAAUAUCACGGGAGGAGACAUCAAAAGCCUUCUUGAUCACCCUCUUCGUUUUAUCUACCUGUGACGCCACUUAUUUAUUCAUGUGUGUAUAUAUUUAUAUUACUGUAUAUGGACACACUGAUCUGUUUUGUAGUCAAUGCCUACUAUGUUCUGUGUGCUGAAGCAAAGCAAGAAUUUCAUUGUCCUAUCAGGGACACAUGACAAUAAACUCACUUGAACUUGAACUUGAACUUUCAGGGAACUAUGUACCUGUAUGCCUAAAUCCGUCUGCUCAACAACACUUGUAGAAGUCUUCGCAAGCCCAAGUAUCAGAAGUAUCCAGGGCUCCACCAUUCACUAUGAACAGUUACCCUUGAUUUUGAGGUAUAGACCUGGAUGGAGCUUGGAUCUGUACACAUCUCUCAGAGUUCAGGGUGCUAUUGUCUAAACUCUCCUGCCCAUUUGUUCUCCAGAUGUUAACUUUCAUAACAUAUAAAUAUUUCCUUUAUGCUUUAAUAGCGACAAUUAUGAGAAAAUAUUCAGCAUUAUUUCACAUAUGUGUAUAUAGCACAUCAUUACAGAAACACAUGUGCAACAUGUUGGCUGUAUGUAAAAAUAUCUAGUGCCAGAGUAUAAAUAUAAAAUAUAUUGAAAAAUAAAUAUAUUCU